Molecule: ribosomal RNA, 414 nt
Filed under: uncultured microorganism
Description: bacterial SSU rRNA
Rfam family: Bacterial small subunit ribosomal RNA
Source: RNAcentral
GAGUUUGAUCUUGGCUCAGAUUGAACGCUGGCGGCAUGCUUUACACAUGCAAGUCGAACGGCAGCGCGGGGCAACCUGGCGGCGAGUGGCGAACGGGUGAGUAAUAUAUCGGAACGUACCCAAGAGUGGGGGAUAACGUAGCGAAAGUUACGCUAAUACCGCAUACGAUCUAAGGAUGAAAGUGGGGGAUCGCAAGACCUCAUGCUCCUGGAGCGGCCGAUAUCUGAUUAGCUAGUUGGUGAGGUAAAGGCUCACCAAGGCGACGAUCAGUAGCUGGUCUGAGAGGACGACCAGCCACACUGGAACUGAGACACGGUCCAGACUCCUACGGGAGGCAGCAGUGGGGAAUUUUGGACAAUGGGCGCAAGCCUGAUCCAGCAAUGCCGCGUGAGUGAAGAAGGCCUCGGUUGUAAG